This 688-nucleotide small RNA is filed under the name Lactifluus gymnocarpoides. Its description in RNAcentral is "eukaryotic LSU rRNA". The stretch from base 170 to 323 matches the Rfam family "5.8S ribosomal RNA". Lineage: Eukaryota; Fungi; Basidiomycota; Agaricomycetes; Russulales; Russulaceae. The record is from RNAcentral.
CCCCCUUUAGGGGGGGGGGGGUCGUGCACGCCGUCGGUGUCGUCCUCAACACAAUCAAAUCCACCUCACCCUUUUGUGCAUCGCCGCGUGGGUUCCGGAAGGGGCCUGCGCCUUUUACACACACAUGAUUCAGUGUAGAAUGUCCUUUGCAUUUGUAUGCAAUCAAUACAACUUUCAACAACGGAUCUCUUGGCUCUCGCAUCGAUGAAGAACGCAGCGAAAUGCGAUACGUAAUGUGAAUUGCAGAAUUCAGUGAAUCAUCGAAUCUUUGAACGCACCUUGCGCCCCUUGGCAUUCCGAGGGGCACACCCGUUUGAGUGUCGUGAAAUCCUCAACCCUUCUUUGUUUCUUUUCGAUUCGAAGAAAGGCUUGGAAUUUGGAGGCUUUUGCUGGCCUUUCUUGAAGCCAGCUCCUCUUAAAUGCAUUAGCAGGGUCUCCUCAGCUGGAUCCCUUGACGUGAUAAGCCUUUUACGUCUCAAAGGGUUUUCUGGCUCUGCCCGCUUCCAAUUGUCUCGUCGAGACAAACCUUUUUGAACCCUAGACCUCAAAUCGGUUUUGGUCAUUUAGAGGAAGUAAGCAUAUCAAUAAGCGGAGGAAAAGAAACUAACAAGGAUUCCCCUAGUAACUGCGAGUGAAGCGGGAAAAGCUCAAAUUUAAAAUCUGGCGGUCUUUGGCCGUUCGAGUGUAA